GAGACGGAGCGAUCUUCUUGAGCUGUAGCGAUGCGUGCAGAUCGAAG
RNAcentral lists this unclassified non-coding RNA (47 nucleotides) under Sorangium cellulosum So ce56. The record is from RNAcentral. Lineage: Bacteria; Pseudomonadati; Myxococcota; Polyangiales; Polyangiaceae.